GGGUUAGUAGGUUGGUCAUGCCUCUGGUAUGUACUGGUCUCACUGAUUCCUCCUUCCUGAUGAACCUUAAUGCCAUUAAUUUGGUGUUGCGGGGAAUUUGGACUGUUACUUUGAAAAAAUUAGAGUGUUUAAAGCAAGCUAACGCUUGAAUACAUUAGCAUGGAAUAAUGAAAUAGGACGUUCGAUCCUAUUUUGUUGGUUUCUGGAACCGCCGUA
This 216-nucleotide ribosomal RNA is filed under the name Campeiostachys nutans. RNAcentral describes it as "Elymus nutans partial small subunit ribosomal RNA". The stretch from base 40 to 216 matches the Rfam family "Eukaryotic small subunit ribosomal RNA", at positions 686 to 864 of the family's 1831-position model. The record is from RNAcentral. Lineage: Eukaryota; Viridiplantae; Streptophyta; Magnoliopsida; Poales; Poaceae.